GAUGAACGCUGGCGGCGUGCCUAAUACAUGCAAGUCGAGCGAACGGACGAGAAGCUUGCUUCUCUGAUGUUAUCGGCGGACGGGUGAGUAACACGUGGAUAACCUACCUAUAAGACUGGGAUAACUUCGGGAAACCGGAGCUAAUACCGGAUAAUAUUUUGAACCGCAUGGUUCAAAAGUGAAAGACGGUCUUGCUGUCACUUAUAGAUGGAUCCGCGCUGCAUUAGCUAGUUGGUAAGGUAACGGCUUACCAAGGCAACGAUGCAUAGCCGACCUGAGAGGGUGAUCGGCCACACUGGAACUGAGACACGGUCCAGACUCCUACGGGAGGCAGCAGUAGGGAAUCUUCCGCAAUGGGCGAAAGCCUGACGGAGCAACGCCGCGUGAGUGAUGAAGGUCUUCGGAUCGUAAAACUCUGUUAUUAGGGAAGAACAUAUGUGUAAGUAACUGUGCACAUCUUGACGGUACCUAAUCAGAAAGCCACGGCUAACUACGUG
This 497-nucleotide ribosomal RNA is filed under the name uncultured bacterium. RNAcentral describes it as "partial 16S ribosomal RNA". It matches the Rfam family "Bacterial small subunit ribosomal RNA", at positions 28 to 507 of the family's 1533-position model. The record is from RNAcentral.